Molecule: ribosomal RNA, 496 nt
Filed under: uncultured bacterium
Lineage: Bacteria
Description: partial 16S ribosomal RNA
Rfam family: Bacterial small subunit ribosomal RNA
Source: RNAcentral
GAUGAACGCUGGCGGCGUGCCUAAUACAUGCAAGUCGAGCGAACAGACGAGGAGCUUGCUCCUCUGACGUUAGCGGCGGACGGGUGAGUAACACGUGGAUAACCUACCUAUAAGACUGGGAUAACUUCGGGAAACCGGAGCUAAUACCGGAUAAUAUAUUGAACCGCAUGGUUCAAUAGUGAAAGACGGUUUUGCUGUCACUUAUAGAUGGAUCCGCGCCGCAUUAGCUAGUUGGUAAGGUAACGGCUUACCAAGGCAACGAUGCGUAGCCGACCUGAGAGGGUGAUCGGCCACACUGGAACUGAGACACGGUCCAGACUCCUACGGGAGGUAGCAGUAGGGAAUCUUCCGCAAUGGGCGAAAGCUUGACGGAGCAACGCCGCGUGAGUGAUGAAGGUCUUCGGAUCGUAAAACUCUGUUAUUAGGGAAGAACAAAUGUGUAAGUAACUAUGCACGUCUUGACGGUACCUAAUCAGAAAGCCACGGCUAACUACGU